Hippocampus comes (tiger tail seahorse) is the source of this 1177-nucleotide long non-coding RNA. RefSeq lists it as uncharacterized. NCBI's taxonomy places the organism in Eukaryota, Metazoa, Chordata, Actinopteri, Syngnathiformes, Syngnathidae. The record is from RefSeq and is a predicted model, not a curated record. The transcript has 2 exons.
CUGAGGUUGCACAAGUAGCAAAGUUCUGUUUGUGUGAAUGCUGAAGAGCACAAAAAUAUGUUAUUGCUAUACCACCCAAAAAGAAAAAAAAAGUUUACAUUCUACUGCUCCCACAUUUCUCAAGCGAUUCAAGUCAUUCAAGCAUAAAAAAAUAAAUGUCUCUGAACUCUUGGCCUGUCACGAUAUAUUUUGGAAUCUCUCCAUCGCAAGAUCUCUGUGCACCAGAGAUCUUGCUUUGGAGCGAUACAGACUCGGUACGCAGAUCUUGCUGUCAAUUCUGGCGUUCUACAUGGGUAUUUGGUGCCAGUUGCUAGUAUCUUUAAGUUCCUGGUCGGGCAUAGAGAUGUUUGCUGAACCGUGCAUAAACAAGCAACGAAAUAGGACAAAAGAGCACCAAAGAGGACAGCUGCUUGCCGAUGCACAUGGCUGCGCCAGCUAGCAUGAGCGCUAUUUGGCACAAUUAUUGCUACUGAACUCAGUAGCGCCACAUCAAUAAAUGAGAAAAAUAGUUGAACGUGCCAAUGAACCAACCGGACAGGAACCUAACUGAAACAGUGAAAGCGAACCGUUUAAACGCUCUUCAAAAAACAUUUCACCCUAUGUGUACAUGUGCUUGUGAGUGUCAUCCUGCCGAGAAGAAUCAAAGUAACCGACAGCAGGCAAUGAAGCAGCACGACUGAAUGUUGAUCACAUAUGUAAACAAAAGUGCAUGUAAAUGACCAUUUAUCUAGCCCGGAAAAACUAUUCUUUUUGUAUUUUAUUGAUCGAGGGAUAAAUCGACGUAGAAAUUAUCGUCACAGGCCGACUGAAUUGACCGUAUGCACGGAGUGUUAUGACGUCCACGUUCUUCGCCGUGCAAGUCUGCUUUGCGGGGAUAAAUUUGCAGUUACAGCAACCACGUCUUUUCUUGGCAUUUCCUUUCCACUGAUGAGCCAUCAACCAUACUUUACACUAGAACUCCAGAGCCAUCAUAUUGACGCUUCCCAAGCUUUGAGUGUUGUUAUUCUGUUCAUAUACAGUGCUGUGAAAAAGUAUUUGCCCCCUCCUAAUUUCAGUUCUUUUUGGCUAUCUAUUACACACAAAGGUUUCAAAUCAUCAAACUAAUUUUCAUGUCACUCAGAGACAGCCAAAGAAAAUGCAAAAUGCAGUUUUCAAAUGUUAAUUACAUCUAUUAAGG